CCAGCAGCUGCGGUAAUUCCAGCUCCACUAGCGUAUGUUAAAGUUGCUGCAGUUAAAACGCUCGUAGUUGUGGUUAGGCUGGGCGCGAAGACUGCGCAUGAAAGUGCACGGUUAUCGCUCCUGGCGAUCCGCUGGAAUGUUUGUUAACUCAUUCAUUCCUUGUAAACCUUGAAGAAAUGUUAUCGCUCAAAACUGGUCUUAGGACCCAGUUCCUUUUGCAUGGGAUUUUGGAAUAUGUGCGAUUCGGGUAACGCCAGGUCGCAAAUGACAUUUGAGGAAGAAAGAGGCAGUCUGUACUGGUUGGCAAGAGGUGAAAUUCUUUGAUUCAACCAUGACAAACUGAGGCGAAGGCUUUCUGCAAUUGCUUUCCUGUCAAUCAAGAACGAAAGU
Molecule: ribosomal RNA, 390 nt
Filed under: uncultured eukaryote
Lineage: Eukaryota
Description: SSU rRNA
Rfam family: Eukaryotic small subunit ribosomal RNA
Source: RNAcentral